RNAcentral lists this ribosomal RNA (407 nucleotides) under Ruminiclostridium sp. Its description in RNAcentral is "bacterial SSU rRNA". It matches the Rfam family "Bacterial small subunit ribosomal RNA", at positions 355 to 776 of the family's 1533-position model. RNAcentral also lists the same sequence under 1 other name. The record is from RNAcentral. Lineage: Bacteria; Bacillati; Bacillota; Clostridia; Eubacteriales; Oscillospiraceae.
UGGGGAAUAUUGGGCAAUGGGCGCAAGCCUGACCCAGCAACGCCGCGUGAAGGAAGAAGGCUUUCGGGUUGUAAACUUCUUUUCUUAGGGACGAAGCAAGUGACGGUACCUAAGGAAUAAGCCACGGCUAACUACGUGCCAGCAGCCGCGGUAAUACGUAGGUGGCAAGCGUUAUCCGGAUUUACUGGGUGUAAAGGGCGUGUAGGCGGGAUUGCAAGUCAGAUGUGAAAACCACGGGCUCAACCUGUGGCCUGCAUUUGAAACUGUAGUUCUUGAGUACUGGAGAGGCAGACGGAAUUCCUAGUGUAGCGGUGAAAUGCGUAGAUAUUAGGAGGAACACCAGUGGCGAAGGCGGUCUGCUGGACAGCAACUGACGCUGAGGCGCGAAAGCGUGGGGAGCAAACAGG